UACGGGGGGGGGCAAGCGUUGUUCGGAAUUACUGGGCGUAAAGGGCUCGUAGGUGGCCAACUAAGUCAGACGUGAAAUCCCUCGGCUUAACCGGGGAACUGCGUCUGAUACUGGAUGGCUUGAGUUCGGGAGAGGGAUGCGGAAUUCCAGGUGUAGCGGUGAAAUGCGUAGAUAUCUGGAGGAACACCGGUGGCGAAGGCGGCAUCCUGGACCGACACUGACGCUGAUGAGCGAAAGCCAGGGGAGCAAAACGGGG
This 256-nucleotide ribosomal RNA is filed under the name uncultured bacterium. RNAcentral describes it as "partial 16S ribosomal RNA". It matches the Rfam family "Bacterial small subunit ribosomal RNA", at positions 524 to 778 of the family's 1533-position model. The record is from RNAcentral.